UCACUUCAGCGAGAGAUUUUGCAUGUCAUCUGUUACCUGCUGAGAAGCAUUGCAAGUGAAGAGCAGCGCAGAGCCCUGGCUGUUCUAGCUCUUGGAAUCAAGUGUUUAUAUAAGAUUGUCAUCUUCCAUGUUAAAGAAAAAAAAAAAGGUUUCUCUCAUGGCUAAAGAGGAAGUUAUAACGAGCUUCUGCAUGCAAUAAGUUGCAGAGAAGACAGCAAAGAAAAGGUUACAGCUUGCUGCAUUCAUGACUGCAUUUUACAUACACGGAUCCAGUUAGUUAUUUGGAAGCAUUUCUAAGUAGUUUGUGUCAGAUGAAAAGACCAAGGAUGACAUGCUUCAGCUCCAAGCAGAAACCAUUCAGGCAACACAGAGAAAUGUGAUCAGCAAGCAGAGAGGCAUGUUGCCUGGCCAUGC
Molecule: long non-coding RNA, 414 nt
Organism: Cygnus atratus (black swan)
Lineage: Eukaryota; Metazoa; Chordata; Aves; Anseriformes; Anatidae
Exons: 3
Source: RefSeq, a predicted model, not a curated record